UGAGGCAGGAGAAUUGCUUGAACCCAGGAGGUGAAGGCUGCAGUGAGCCGAGAUCGUGCCACUGCACUCCAGCCUGGGCGACAGAGCGAGACUCCGUCUC
This 100-nucleotide microRNA precursor is filed under the name Mandrillus leucophaeus (drill). Its description in RNAcentral is "miRNA (ENSMLEG00000008046.1)". The record is from RNAcentral. Lineage: Eukaryota; Metazoa; Chordata; Mammalia; Primates; Cercopithecidae.